UUUUACCUGAUGGGCUUUACUAAAAUGGUGUUUGUAAUAUUAGGAAUGGUUAUAAUUAACAGAUAAUGGGAAUGUACCCAGUAAAUCCAUGUACAUAUAGAAAAUGAUCUGAGAAAAUGGGACGGGAGUUUGACGUUUGUAAACUAGACGCCAUUUAUAGCGCAGACUGCAAGUUCAUUAUUUCUCUAAAUACUUUCUGUUUUUUUUAAUAAUGUUACGUAAAUUAAAUGUCACUGGAUCUGUUUGCUCAAUAAUUUCUGG
Molecule: non-coding RNA, 261 nt
Organism: Pelobates cultripes (western spadefoot toad)
Lineage: Eukaryota; Metazoa; Chordata; Amphibia; Anura; Pelobatidae
Source: the annotation of a GenBank genome assembly